RNAcentral lists this ribosomal RNA (422 nucleotides) under uncultured Glomeraceae. Its description in RNAcentral is "SSU rRNA". It matches the Rfam family "Eukaryotic small subunit ribosomal RNA", at positions 459 to 886 of the family's 1831-position model. Lineage: Eukaryota; Fungi; Glomeromycota; Glomeromycetes; Glomerales; Glomeraceae. The record is from RNAcentral.
GGGAGGUAGUGACAAUAAAUAACAAUACAGGGCCCUUUCGGGUCUUGUAAUUGGAAUGAGUACAAUUUAAAUCUCUUAACGAGGAACAAUUGGAGGGCAAGUCUGGUGCCAGCAGCCGCGGUAAUUCCAGCUCCAAUAGCGUAUAUUAAAGUUGUUGCAGUUAAAAAGCUCGUAGUUGAAUUUCGAGGUCAAAUUGUCGGUCGUGCCUCGGUACGUACUGGCAUUAUUGAUUUCUCCUUUCUGACGAUCCGCGAUGUCAUUAAUUUGGUGUCGUGGGGAAUCAGGACUGUUACUUUGAAAAAAUUAGAGUGUUUAAAGCAGGCUCACGCUUGAAUACAUUAGCAUGGAAUAAUGAAAUAGGACGUUUGAUUCUAUUUUGUUGGUUUCUAGGAUCGACGUAAUGAUUAAUAGGGAUAGUUGGG